RNAcentral lists this transfer RNA (71 nucleotides) under Sphaerobolus stellatus SS14. RNAcentral describes it as "tRNA-Cys (GCA) (tRNA-Cys-GCA-6-1)". It matches the Rfam family "tRNA". Rfam says of the family: Transfer RNA (tRNA) molecules are approximately 80 nucleotides in length. Their secondary structure includes four short double-helical elements and three loops (D, anti-codon, and T loops). Lineage: Eukaryota; Fungi; Basidiomycota; Agaricomycetes; Geastrales; Sphaerobolaceae. The record is from Rfam by way of RNAcentral.
GGCGCAGUAGCUCAGUGGUAGAGCACACGGUUGCAAAUCGUGGGGUCCCGAGUUCAACCUCGGUUGCACCU